UAUAUAUAUAUAUUUGCGUAUUGAUCCGCAGCGUUAUAAAAAAUGUCUGACAAAGGUUCAAAAUGUAAUCGACAAAGACGUACAAUAAGAAAGCCUAAAAAGUAUUGUACUACAGAUUCUGAUAAGCCAACGAAUAAGGAAAAGGCUAAAAAUAAAAUAUUAGAAGAAAUGACAACAGUAUUCAGAAAUUCUAAUUCUGAAGAAUCAGAUGAGGCAUCAAGUCAAUCAUCUGAUAAUGAAUCUAAUUUUUCUACUGACAGUGAGAACGAUGUUGAAAUGAAGAAAAGAUAUGAAAGAAAUGAACAAUUAACUCGGAAAAAAGAAGGAAAUCAAGACAAAUUAAUAAGACCAACUUCCAAAAAAGUAGAAAAUCAAGUUAAACCAGUCGGGCUUGACAAAAAAAAGGAAACAAAAAAACAACAUCGGAACAGCUACUUGAACAGCAUAGAAAUAAUAAUUUGAACUCACCUGGUUGUUCAACACAAACAUUACAAAAUAAUUAUGAUCAAAGAGAUGAUGUGAUAUGUUCCUCAAAUAAUCAUUCUAUUUACGAUUUCAACUCAGGGAUAAUUGCCGAAACAAGUACUGUUCAAAACAAUUCCCCACAAAUUAAAAUGUGGAAUAAAUCUACUCCAGCUGUUACUUCAAAUUAUAGCUAUUAUGACAGUUGGAACACUAAUGAUACUGCUUCAUCCACAUAUACACAAGGAUUACAUACCUCAGAACCCGCACCGGAUAAUUUUACACAUGGACAUAUUCCGCAAUUCUACAAUUCUCACAAUCAUAAUUAUGGUCAUAUAAGUUAUGAAAAUCCUGAAAAUGUCAAUUUAAAUAACUUAAAGACAUUGCAAGACUUGAGCGCAUCGCAAGAAAUAUUCUU
This is a non-coding RNA of Nylanderia fulva, 880 nucleotides long. The record is from RefSeq and is a predicted model, not a curated record. Lineage: Eukaryota; Metazoa; Arthropoda; Insecta; Hymenoptera; Formicidae.